CAGAGGUAAUGGUCAGGCUUCACCGAUGAGGCAAAAUCCAUCGUUUAGAAACUUCUGCUCUCAAUUUCGCACUAAAAGCUUCCUCAGCUUCUUAUGCUUGGAUGCAUGAAUGAGCUUUCUCUUCAUUUAUGUUUGCAUCAGCAACCACAUAUGCAUCAUGGGUGGGCACAGGCUAUGUUUUGCUAUUGAUCGCUCAAAGGUCAUGACCUUACAGCCCUAAUUCAUUGUGAUGAUACAGACAAAUGAUUUAAAGCAAGGUGAAUCCAUCUUUAAGACAUACAGUAUAAUUUGAGUUUUCAGUUUCACAAUACAAAUGCUAAUUGCGCCAUGUACCAUAUAAUAUAUUACACUAUAUAAUUGUAGAGUUUAGCGUUUCGAUUUCUCUGACACUGACCUUCCUUUACAAGUCUAUCUGGCAACCGCUCCACCCCUGCACAGGUGGGUCCCAUUGUGGCAUGUGUGUGCUGUUUGGUUUUCUGCUGUACUGUUGGCAUGAUGAGGGUAAUUGGAGUGUUGGUCUGGUGAAUCAGUGCCAGCCUGGGUGGGCAGAUUGCAUAUGAUGAUCAUGUUCUGACCAGAUGGCUAGCUGGCACAAGGGCUUAGACUGGAAGGAUGUGUAUAUGUACGUUCAUUUGUGUGUGUGUGCCAGGGAAGGUUUAGUGGGUGAAAACAGCAAAUCAUUGCAUUUGCUCAUUUUGAUACAUAUCUUUAAAUUUUACUUAUAUAAAGCCACACACACAAGGCCUCACAAGAGUAGGUCGGAUGAAGAUUUUUUUUUUUUUUUUAAGCAACACCUACAAACAGAUUCUUAGUUUCUGGCGACUACAUCAGUUUUUCUGAGCUAGAAUUUAGUUUUCAGUCUGAACCGGCCUGUUUUUGCGUCAAAAGCUGCCACGCUGUCAGUAUUUGACGCAAGAAAUCUGACAGACUGUCCUUUGGCAUUAAUGCUGUAGAGUACCAGUUUAUGAAAUUAGUAAAACCUCCAACUCAACACAUAUGGGCACUUCUUAAGGACCUCUUGGUGUAUAAGUAAACACAGUAGGGUGCUGUAGGCAUCAUUUUUUAACAUGCGGGUUUAAUGUUUGCAGCAGUACAUUUUAUCCCAAGCCACAAUUUUUCUUUCUCUUAACCAAGUAGUUUUUGGUGCCCAAGCCCAUCUGGCAAGUAAAAAUAAAAAGGGAGCGAAAAAGGAAAAUAAUUGAAAUGAAAAAAAGAAUCAAGUGAAUAUACAAACACAAAGCUUCUAAAGAGGACACUGUCACGAUGUCCUGGCUGAAAACUUGUGAGUGAUGCUAGUGUCACCCAUCCAGCCUCUAAUGUAGGCACUGCCACUCUUUUAAAACUGGACAGAUUUCCACAGCUGGUGGAUCAACAAGGCUUAUUUCUCUGCUAAUGCA
Long non-coding RNA from Astatotilapia calliptera (eastern happy), 1397 nucleotides. The record is from Ensembl. Lineage: Eukaryota; Metazoa; Chordata; Actinopteri; Cichliformes; Cichlidae.